GGCCGCAGUAAUCUGACUGUGCUAUGGUAGCAAAAUAAUUAGCCUUUUAAUUGAAGGCUUGUAUGAAAGAUUUGACAUAGAGGAGACUGUCUCAAUAGUAAAAACUAAAAAUUUAUUACAAGGUAAAAAAGCCUUGAAUUACUAAAAAGACGAUAAGACCCUAAAAUCUAUCUUUGAAGGGAGCAUAUCUUGACUUAUAAAGGUGUCUAUAAUAGAAGAUAUACUGGGGCGGUAAUUAUAAAAUAAACUAUAAAUUUUGUAACACAGUGAGUGAAUUCAAUUUAACCUUAAUGAAUUAAAUAAGAUACUUUAGGGAUAACAGCAUAAUAUAUUUUUAGAGUCCUUAUCAACAAAUAUGUUUAUGACCUCGAUGUUGAAUUGAAUACCCUAUGCUUAGAAGAAUGAGUAUAUAGGGAGUCUGUUCGACUCAUAAUAAUUCACAUGAUUUGAGUUCAAACCCGG
This 462-nucleotide ribosomal RNA is filed under the name Alpioniscus drazinai. RNAcentral's name for it is "partial 16S ribosomal RNA". It matches the Rfam family "Bacterial large subunit ribosomal RNA", at positions 1929 to 2620 of the family's 2925-position model. Lineage: Eukaryota; Metazoa; Arthropoda; Malacostraca; Isopoda; Trichoniscidae. The record is from RNAcentral.